UACGUAGGGGGCAAGCGUUGUCCGGAUUUAUUGGGCGUAAAGAGCGUGUAGGCGGCCAAGCAGGUCAGCUGUGAAAACUCGAGGCUCAACCUCGAGACGUCGGUUGAAACCGUUUGGCUAGAGUCCGGAAGAGGAGAGUGGAAUUCCCGGUGUAGCGGUGAAAUGCGCAGAUAUCGGGAAGAACACCCGUGGCGAAGGCGGCUCUCUGGACCGUAACUGACGCUGAGGCGCGAAAGCGUGGGAGCAAACAGG
RNAcentral lists this ribosomal RNA (252 nucleotides) under uncultured bacterium. RNAcentral describes it as "partial 16S ribosomal RNA". It matches the Rfam family "Bacterial small subunit ribosomal RNA", at positions 524 to 776 of the family's 1533-position model. The record is from RNAcentral.